This 592-nucleotide ribosomal RNA is filed under the name uncultured bacterium. RNAcentral describes it as "bacterial SSU rRNA". It matches the Rfam family "Bacterial small subunit ribosomal RNA", at positions 338 to 917 of the family's 1533-position model. The record is from RNAcentral.
CCUACGGGAGGCAGCAGUGAGGAAUAUUGGGCAAUGGGCGAAAGCCUGACCCAGCAACGCUGCGUGAGGGAAGAAGCUCUACGGAGUGUAAACCUCUGUUAGGAGGGACGAAUGUUGUAAUGGUAAAUAAUCAUUAUGAAGAGACGGUACCUCCAAAGAAAGCCCCGGCUAACUCCGUGCCAGCAGCCGCGGUAAUACGGGGGGGGCAAGCGUUGUCCGGAAUUACUGGGCGUAAAGGGCGUGUAGGCGGAUAGGUCAGUCGAGGGUGAAAUCCUACAGCUUAACUGUAGAAUUGCCUUUGAUACUGCUUAUCUUGAGUUCGGGAGAGGGAAGCGGAAUUCCUGGUGUAGCGGUGAAAUGCGUAGAUAUCAGGAAGAACACCGGUAGCGAAGGCAGCUUCCUGGCCCGAUACUGACGCUGAAGCGCGAAAGCGUGGGGAGCAAACAGGAUUAGAUACCCUGGUAGUCCACGCCGUAAACGAUGGGUACUAGGUGUUGGUUUCGCCUCGGCGGAAUCAGUGCCGCAGCUAACGCAUUAAGUACCCCGCCUGGGGAGUACGGUCGCAAGGCUGAAACUCAAAUGAAUUGACGGA